This 253-nucleotide ribosomal RNA is filed under the name uncultured bacterium. RNAcentral describes it as "partial 16S ribosomal RNA". It matches the Rfam family "Bacterial small subunit ribosomal RNA", at positions 524 to 776 of the family's 1533-position model. The record is from RNAcentral.
UACGGGGGGGGCAAGCGUUGUUCGGAAUUACUGGGCGUAAAGGGCUCGUAGGCGGCCAACUAAGUCAUACGUGAAAUCCCUCGGCUUAACCGGGGAACUGCGUCUGAUACUGGAUGGCUUGAGUUUGGGAGAGGGAUGCGGAAUUCCAGGUGUAGCGGUGAAAUGCGUAGAUAUCUGGAGGAGCACCGGUGGCGAAGGCGGCAUCCUGGACCAACACUGACGCUGAGGAGCGAAAGCCAGGGGAGCAAACGGG